This 497-nucleotide ribosomal RNA is filed under the name uncultured bacterium. RNAcentral describes it as "partial 16S ribosomal RNA". It matches the Rfam family "Bacterial small subunit ribosomal RNA", at positions 28 to 507 of the family's 1533-position model. The record is from RNAcentral.
GAUGAACGCUGGCGGCGUGCCUAAUACAUGCAAGUCGAGCGAACUGACGAGGAGCUUGCUCCUCUGACGUUAGCGGCGGACGGGUGAGUAACACGUGGAUAACCUACCUAUAAGACUGGGAUAACUUCGGGAAACCGGAGCUAAUACCGGAUAAUAUAUUGAACCGCAUGGUUCAAUAGUGAAAGACGGUUUUGCUGUCACUUAUAGAUGGAUCCGCGCCGCAUUAGCUAGUUGGUAAGGUAACGGCUUACCAAGGCAACGAUGCGUAGCCGACCUGAGAGGGUGAUCGGCCACACUGGAACUGAGACACGGUCCAGACUCCUACGGGAGGCAGCAGUAGGGAAUCUUCCGCAAUGGGCGAAAGCUUGACGGAGCAACGCCGCGUGAGUGAUGAAGGUCUUCGGAUCGUAAAACUCUGUUAUUAGGGAAGAACAAAUGUGUAAGUAACUAUGCACGUCUUGACGGUACCUAAUCAGAAAGCCACGGCUAACUACGUG